This 216-nucleotide ribosomal RNA is filed under the name uncultured fungus. Its description in RNAcentral is "partial small subunit ribosomal RNA". The stretch from base 38 to 216 matches the Rfam family "Eukaryotic small subunit ribosomal RNA", at positions 684 to 865 of the family's 1831-position model. The record is from RNAcentral. Lineage: Eukaryota; Fungi.
GGGUCAGUAGGUUGGUCGUGCCACUGGUAUGCACUGGCCUUACUGAUUCCUCCUUCUUGAAGAACUGUGAUGUCAUUUACUUGGUGUUGCAGGGAAACAGGACUGUUACUUUGAAAAAAUUAGAGUGUUUAAAGCAGGCUUAUGCUUGAAUACAUUAGCAUGGAAUAAUAAAAAAGGACUUUGGUUCUAUUUUGUUGGUUUCUAGGAUACAAAGUA